RNAcentral lists this ribosomal RNA (868 nucleotides) under uncultured archaeon. RNAcentral's name for it is "bacterial SSU rRNA". It matches the Rfam family "Archaeal small subunit ribosomal RNA", at positions 1 to 878 of the family's 1478-position model. The record is from RNAcentral.
CUCCGGUUGAUCCUGCCGGACCCGACUGCUAUCAGAGUGGGACUAAGCCAUGCGAGUCAACAUAGCAAUAUGUGGCAUACGGCUCAGUAACACGUAGUCAACAUGCCCAGGGGACGUGGAUAACCUCGGGAAACUGAGGAUAAACCGCGAUAGGUCAUCACUUCUGGAAUGGGUAAUGACUUAAAUCUAUAUGGCCCCUGGAUUGGACUGCGGCCGAUCAGGCUGUUGGUGAGGUAAUGGCCCACCAAACCUGUAACCGGUACGGGCUCUGAGAGGAGGAGCCCGGAGAUGGGCACUGAGACAAGGGCCCAGGCCCUAUGGGGCGCAGCAGGCGCGAAACCUCUGCAAUAGGCGAAAGCUUGACAGGGUUACUCUGAGUGAUUUCCGUUAAGGAGAUCUUUUGGCACCUCUAAAAAUGGUGCAGAAUAAGGGGUGGGCAAGUCUGGUGUCAGCCGCCGCGGUAAUACCAGCACCCCGAGUGGUCGGGACGUUUAUUGGGCCUAAAGCAUCCGUAGCCGGUUCUACAAGUCUUCCGUUAAAUCCACCUGCUUAACAGAUGGGCUGCGGAAGAUACUAUAGAGCUAGGAGGCGGGAGAGGCAAGCGGUACUCGAUGGGUAGGGGUAAAAUCCGUUGAUCCAUUGAAGACCACCAGUGGCGAAGGCGGCUUGCCAGAACGCGCUCGACGGUGAGGGAUGAAAGCUGGGGGAGCAAACCGGAUUAGAUACCCGGGUAGUCCCAGCUGUAAACGAUGCAGACUCGGUGAUGAGUUGGCUUAUUGCUAACUCAGUGCCGCAGGGAAGCCGUUAAGUUUGCCGCCUGGGGAGUACGGUCGCAAGACUGAAACUUAAGGGAAUUGGCGGGGGAGCA